GGCGGAUGGGUGAGUAACACGUGGGCAACCUGCCUGUAAGAUUGGGAUAACUCCGGGAAACCGGUGCUAAUACCGAAUAAUUCUAUUCACCACCUGGUGGAUAGGUAAAAGGCGGCUUUUCGGAGCUGUCACUUACAGAUGGGCCUGCGUCGCAUUAGCUAGUUGGUGGGAUAACGGCCUACCAAGGCGACGAUGCGUAGCCGACCUGAGAGGGUGAUCGGCCACACUGGGACUGAGACACGGCCCAGACUCCUACGGGAGGCAGCAGUAGGGAAUCUUCCACAAUGGACGAAAGUCUGAUGGAGCAAUGCCGCGUGAGCGAAGAAGGUUUUCGGAUCGUAAAGCUCUGUUGUAAGGGAAGAACACGUACGGGAGUAACUGCCCGUACCUUGACGGUACCUUAUUAGAAAGCCACGGCUAACUACGUGCCAGCAGCCGCGGUAAUACGUAGGUGGCAAGCGUUGUCCGGAAUUAUUGGGCGUAAAGCGCGCGCAGGCGGUCCUUUAAGUCUGAUGUGAAAGCCCACGGCUCAACCGUGGAGGGUCAUUGGAAACUGGGGGACUUGAGUACAGAAGAGGAAAGCGGAAUUCCACGUGUAGCGGUGAAAUGCGUAGAGAUGUGGAGGAACACCAGUGGCGAAGGCGGCU
Molecule: ribosomal RNA, 647 nt
Filed under: uncultured bacterium
Lineage: Bacteria
Description: bacterial SSU rRNA
Rfam family: Bacterial small subunit ribosomal RNA
Source: RNAcentral